CCCCCCCAGAGCACCGGAGUACAGGAGGGCUUCUGGAGCGAGAGCAGGACAGCCAGGCCUCCCGCGCUGCUGAUGGGGGGGACAGCUCCAGGCUCCUGACAAAGGACACCGGGGUGCUACAGCCACGGAUGGGAACAGAAGUGAUGGCGAUUCCCCCCCCCAAGCCUGGUUUCCCAGCAGAGCGGGGACGCACUGACAGCAGGCUGAGGUUCUCCGCCUUUGUGCAGGUGACUGCAGUGAGGAGGUUCAGGAGCAGCCGCAAAAAAAAUGGGGCCAUCCCAAGAACUGCUGGUGCCCCAGGCUCUGCUGGCUCCGGUGUCACCUCCCGCAGCAGCUCCAACCCCUCCUCGGGUCUCCCUGGAGAGCACCGAGCCCAAGUUCACGGCUGUGCCUGCCGUGCCCAGGCCAGACCAGCAAACCCAGCCCGCGAGAGGGUCCCGUCCCGGUAAGCAGGGAACACCUCGACAUUUUGCUCCAACUCCAGGAGGCUCAGGUGGGGCUCCCCCCACGGGAGGGCUGGUGCAUCCUACACACUUCCCAAAGGAAGUGACUAAGCUGCUCCUUCCCCAGCCAGCCCAGCUGCUCACACCGUGCUCUACCCCCCCCCCCCAGCCCCUGCCUCGUCCAUACGCAUCAUCCACAGUGGUGCCCCUGCUCCGGGAGUAGGGCCAAGCUACCUGAUAGAUGGGAAUCACGGAAAAAAGUUCCAUCAGGGGUUUAGGAAAGAUUCGUUUUACCAGGUGACAGGCAAUGGCUGCAAUCCCCAUUAGCCUCAGCCCCUACAUUCUUCAAAUAGCCAUGGCAGGUUCUGCUGUUUUAUAAAACAAACAAGGGACAAGGUGCUACAGGAAUCUUUUAACCUUCCUUAUGCAUAUGCAUGUAAAUAAGCCUCACAGCAACAGCAGAGUCAGGAAAUAAACUGGCGAUUGGCUUGGUUCUAUAAAUACACCUGUGAGCAAGAGGUGUUACAGCAAGAACUGUCAGUGCAGAAGCAAACGUGUAACUCAUUUUAUGAGCACAACUCUUGCUCAACUACGCACACACACGCAGGUAAUCAGUGUACAAUUAGGGAGUUCUAAAUAUCUAGGGCAUGGCUUGGCUGUAGAAAAAUGAACUAACUCAGGUGACCGAUUCAAAUCAAAUAGGAAACCUUAAGUAACUCGAUAUUGUAGGUAUAGUUUAUUUUUUUUUCCCCCAAUUCGCUUCUCACCAAUUUUAGUUUGGGGGCGGUUUUGCUCACCAGGAUAUAGUGUAACCAAGCACAUUCUGGAACUGUGUAUCUUGGGUUUUGGGGAUUUUCUUUUUCCUACCCAGAACAAUAAACGACAGGUCCUGUUUAGGCUCUUUCCCCCCUGUUUGUACCAAGGUGAGCAGCAGAUGGAAACAAGCAGGCAGGCAGCUCCCAUACAGCCGAGAGCAGACCCCCACGCUUUCCCUUGUACUUACUCAAACGAGCUGCUGCACAGCUCCGUGGCAGGGGAGCCUGGGUGCUGUGGGUGGUGGCUACCUGGCCCGGAUUGACAUCAACCACCCCGGUUUAUCAAGUCCUGGGAACUCCAGGUGCUGAGGCUUUUGUUAGAGCGAAGAACACAGCUCUGGUCAAUCGUCCCUCCACGUGAAUGACACUGACACACGACAGAAGUCGGAAAAUCUCCGCUACGAGGAGCCACGAUGCCCCGGCUCCCAUCAACACCCUUCCACCACCAAGUAGAUGGCAGCUGAAGAGGAAAAAAAAUCACUUUUAAAUAGCAAACACACACAAACCAGCGCUACUGGGGAAGGGCCCCGGGUGUGGGCAAGUAGCAGAACGCUGGUCUACCGUGUUGAGUAAGCGCUUCCCUAUACUAAACAGAAAUUUUUUUUUUUUUUUAACUGUGUCCAGUACUCAUGGUCAGACUUUAAACUAGUUCUGUAGCAAAGAAUUCACUCGAGACAAAUAUGGACACCAACCCAGUGCCAGCCGAGUGGCACAGCCCCAGCCCCGGGCGGGCAGGAUCCCGACGGCACCAGGGAGGAAUCCACACCGUGCCAAAGCUGACCCUCUAGUGCAAGAGGUUUACAAGUACCAUCAGCGCAAUAAAUCUGAAAAAUAGGUUUUAUUUUUAACCAGUGGUAUUGUGACAUCUUAUCUGGCAUAACCAAUUACAGCAAAAUUCAUGGCUAGGAACAAAAUAGCAGAUCUCUCCUCCGAAGGGCGGCCGGCUCAGCCCGCAGGCAGCUGAGCGGCGCCCAGGGCAGGCAGGGAGCGCGCGGGACAUCCCCACUCACACACACGCACAGACACGCACACACAACAGCUAUACUCUUAAAAAUCUUUAGCAAUAUUUCCGCAUGAAAUCACACUGUAGCAUCUACACAAUAAAAUGGCUGAUAAAAAUAAUCUUGCUGUAGGUUUACACAGUAUAUCUACAUUUUCAUUUGAAUACCUGGACUGCUGGUCCAGCAGAAAAGGGAGGUUUUCUGUCUUGAUUUUGUUGGGCUGAGGAGAAUUUUGUCCCAGAGCAUGAAAUAACUGCUCUCUUCAUCUCACCCCAGACCUUUAUUAAGUGUUUGACCUGAAGAGAUCACUGAAAAGAAGCCUAGGAAGAAUCAAUGGCUUUGUCAUCCGUGUCACAUCCCUUUGUGCUGCCUCUUCAAACACGGGGUAAAAGCACUACAAACAGUUCCUCUCUGUCCCGUAGGUAACAAGAACACAAAAUACUGCAGAAGCCUUUCUCCUCACAUAUACACAGGUACAUUGUCCUUACAGGAUGCCUGCAACAAAUAAAUGUCUAAAGAUAUCUCUUCCCCACAUCCUAAAAUUGGGCUCCUGAGCUCCCUGGGUACAGUUCUAGCACACAAACACGCUGAGAAACCCCCUCCUGCCAGUCUCUAACUCUGGGCAUUUAAUUCACACAGAGUCCUGUGGAAUAAUACAGAAUAUCUGAACCAUGUUUGUCCCUUUUCAUGUUUCCUCAGGCAGAGAUCAACCUGCUACAAAACAGCGAAGCAGCUCUUAUCUGAGAGGCUAAAAAAACCUCUAGUAAGUGUUAGUUUUUUAUAUAUAUAUAUAUAUAUAAAUAUUUAUAUUUAUAGAUAUAGACAGUGAAAGGGAGAUUGUGGUUUUAUGCAUGCUUACUUCUUUGCUUUGGAUUCCAAUACUUCUAGAAAAAUUUUUUUCAGGAAAUAACUUAAGUUCUGGCACAAGAUGCCAUAGUUGUUUCUUUGAAGAACAUUUUUUACAUUUGAUCUCACAAGAAACCCUCUGUCCCAAGCUCUCCGUCUCUGGAACCAGAAGAUCAGAACACAAAGAAAAAGGUGCACUUUUCUAUGCCGUCUAUUUUAUCCCUUCCUCAUCAAAGCCUCCAGAACGGCAGGUAUUUCACCAUGAGCUGCAGCACAAGAGGAAGGAUGCUGUGAUUUCACGGCACUGGCUGAGGUACUCGGUAAAACAGUUCACUGACGAUUUAACUGCCCCAGUGCCAUCCCCGAAAAAGUAACAACACAAAUCAAGCAGCUCUACAUGCACAUACAGCUACGACAUGCAAAAAACACCCCACCUUUUAAGGAACAAAAUGCACAAAACGGGUGGCUAGCAAGAACCUUCUCCAGCCUCUGUUCUCCUGGGAGCUAAUGCUGGGAAGCCUCAGGACGAGAGGAGGGGAAGAGGGAAAAAAUACAGAAA
Tyto alba (common barn owl) is the source of this 3664-nucleotide long non-coding RNA. RefSeq lists it as uncharacterized. The transcript is spliced from 2 exons. The record is from RefSeq and is a predicted model, not a curated record. NCBI's taxonomy places the organism in Eukaryota, Metazoa, Chordata, Aves, Strigiformes, Tytonidae.